This 438-nucleotide ribosomal RNA is filed under the name Yersinia sp. (in: enterobacteria). RNAcentral's name for it is "bacterial SSU rRNA". It matches the Rfam family "Bacterial small subunit ribosomal RNA", at positions 928 to 1365 of the family's 1533-position model. Lineage: Bacteria; Pseudomonadati; Pseudomonadota; Gammaproteobacteria; Enterobacterales; Yersiniaceae. The record is from RNAcentral.
AGCGGUGGAGCAUGUGGUUUAAUUCGAUGCAACGCGAAGAACCUUACCUACUCUUGACAUCCACAGAACUUAGCAGAGAUGCUUAGGUGCCUUCGGGAACUGUGAGACAGGUGCUGCAUGGCUGUCGUCAGCUCGUGUUGUGAAAUGUUGGGUUAAGUCCCGCAACGAGCGCAACCCUUAUCCUUUGUUGCCAGCACGUAAUGGUGGGAACUCAAGGGAGACUGCCGGUGACAAACCGGAGGAAGGUGGGGAUGACGUCAAGUCAUCAUGGCCCUUACGAGUAGGGCUACACACGUGCUACAAUGGCAGAUACAAAGUGAAGCGAACUCGCGAGAGCAAGCGGACCACAUAAAGUCUGUCGUAGUCCGGAUUGGAGUCUGCAACUCGACUCCAUGAAGUCGGAAUCGCUAGUAAUCGUAGAUCAGAAUGCUACGGUGA